UACGGGGGGAGCAAGCGUUGUUCGGAUUUACUGGGCGUAAAGCGCACGUAGGCGGAUUGUUAAGUGAGGGGUGAAAUCCCAGGGCUCAACCCUGGAACUGCCUUUCAUACUGGCAAUCUCGAGUCCGGAAGAGGUGAGUGGAACUCCUAGUGUAGAGGUGGAAUUCGUAGAUAUUAGGAAGAACACCAGUGGCGAAGGCGGCUCACUGGUCCGGUACUGACGCUGAGGUGCGAAAGCGUGGGGAGCAAACAGG
RNAcentral lists this ribosomal RNA (253 nucleotides) under uncultured bacterium. Its description in RNAcentral is "partial 16S ribosomal RNA". It matches the Rfam family "Bacterial small subunit ribosomal RNA", at positions 524 to 776 of the family's 1533-position model. The record is from RNAcentral.